GAUGAACGCUGGCGGCGUGCUUAACACAUGCAAGUCGAACGGAAAGGCCCAAGCUUGCUUGGGUACUCGAGUGGCGAACGGGUGAGUAACACGUGGGUGAACUGCCCUGCACUUCGGGAUAAGCCUGGGAAACUGGGUCUAAUACCGGAUAGGAUCACUUCGUAGUUGUUGUGGUGGAAAGAUGUUUCGGUGUGGGGUGAGUUCGCGGACGAUCAGCUCGUUGUUGGGGUAGUGGCCGACCAAGGCGUCGGCGGGUAGCCGGCCGGAGAGGGUGUACGGCCACAUUGCGACGGGAGUCCGGAGUAGACUCCCACGCGCGACAGGCGAGAGCAAGAUGGAGCAACGCGCGGAGGCCUAUGGCAGCGACGGGGCGGGAAAGAUGACUGAUUUGGGAUUGUAAACUCCGUUCGCCACAGACGACUUUAGGACGGUAUUUGGAGAAGAAGCAACGGCUAACUACGUG
Molecule: ribosomal RNA, 463 nt
Filed under: uncultured bacterium
Lineage: Bacteria
Description: partial 16S ribosomal RNA
Rfam family: Bacterial small subunit ribosomal RNA
Source: RNAcentral